UACGGGGGGGGCAAGCGUUGUUCGGAAUUACUGGGCGUAAAGGGCUCGUAGGCGGCCAACUAAGUCAGACGUGAAAUCCCUCGGCUUAACCGGGAACUGCGUCUGAUACUGGAUGGCUUGAGUUUGGGAGAGGGAUGCGGAAUUCCAGGUGUAGCGGUGAAAUGCGUAGAUAUUGGGAAGAACACCGGUGGCGAAGGCGGCGCUCUGGACCGAGACUGACGCUGAGGCGCGAAAGCGU
Molecule: ribosomal RNA, 238 nt
Filed under: uncultured bacterium
Lineage: Bacteria
Description: partial 16S ribosomal RNA
Rfam family: Bacterial small subunit ribosomal RNA
Source: RNAcentral